GCUGGGUGUGGUGGCGUGCGCCUGUAAUCCCAGCUAUUCCGGAGGCUGAGACAGGAGAAUUGCUUGAACCCAGGAGGUGGUGGUUGCAGUGAGCCAAGAUCACGCCACUGUGCUUCCAGCCUGGGACACAGAGUGAGACUCCAUCUCAAAAAAAUAAAAAAAGUUUCGUGCUGAUCAGUAGUGAAAUCAGCUUGUGAAUAACCACUGCCCUCCAGCCUGAGCAACACAGGAAGAUCCUGUCUCU
Molecule: unclassified non-coding RNA, 244 nt
Organism: Rhinopithecus bieti (black snub-nosed monkey)
Lineage: Eukaryota; Metazoa; Chordata; Mammalia; Primates; Cercopithecidae
Rfam family: Metazoan signal recognition particle RNA
About the family: The signal recognition particle (SRP) is a universally conserved ribonucleoprotein. It is involved in the co-translational targeting of proteins to membranes.
Source: Ensembl